ACGAAGGGGGCUAGCGUUGUUCGGAAUCACUGGGCGUAAAGCGCACGCAGGCGGACUUUCAAGUCAGGGGUGAAAUCCCGAGGCUCAACCUCGGAACUGCCUUUGAUACUGGGAGUCUCGAGUCCGGAAGAGGUGAGUGGAAUUCCGAGUGUAGAGGUGAAAUUCGUAGAUAUUCGGAAGAACACCAGUGGCGAAGGCGGCUCACUGGCCCGGUACUGACGCUGAGGUGCGAAAGCGUGGGGAGCAAACAG
Molecule: ribosomal RNA, 251 nt
Filed under: uncultured prokaryote
Description: partial 16S ribosomal RNA
Rfam family: Bacterial small subunit ribosomal RNA
Source: RNAcentral